This 253-nucleotide unclassified non-coding RNA is filed under the name uncultured Halomonadaceae bacterium. Its description in RNAcentral is "contains 16S-23S intergenic spacer region". It matches the Rfam family "Bacterial small subunit ribosomal RNA", at positions 524 to 776 of the family's 1533-position model. The record is from RNAcentral. Lineage: Bacteria; Pseudomonadati; Pseudomonadota; Gammaproteobacteria; Oceanospirillales; Halomonadaceae.
UACGGAGGGUGCAAGCGUUCAUCGGAAUUACUGGGCGUAAAGCGCGCGUAGGUGGCUUGAUAAGCCGGUUGUGAAAGCCCCGGGCUCAACCUGGGAACGGCAUCCGGAACUGUCAGACUAGAGCGCAGGAGAGGAAGGUAGAAUUCCCGGUGUAGCGGUGAAAUGCGUAGAGAUCGGGAGGAAUACCAGUGGCGAAGGCGGCCUUCUGGAUUGACACUGACACUGAGGUGCGAAAGCGUGGGUAGCAACCAGG